AAAGGGGGGGAGGUGAAGAUACGCUGCUGGAGUGCUGGCUUGAAUCAAAAUGAAAUAAAUCGUCUAGGAAAAGAUUUUCUUCACUUGAUCUGGAUCGGAAAAUGCUUAGAAUAGUUCGGAAAUUGUAAUUUUCUUUGUUUAAUUUGAAUUCAAGCCAGCAGUCCAGCAGCGCAUCUUCUUCUUCUCUUCCCUU
Molecule: microRNA precursor, 193 nt
Filed under: Drosophila guanche
Lineage: Eukaryota; Metazoa; Arthropoda; Insecta; Diptera; Drosophilidae
Source: RNAcentral